Molecule: non-coding RNA, 221 nt
Organism: Pelobates cultripes (western spadefoot toad)
Lineage: Eukaryota; Metazoa; Chordata; Amphibia; Anura; Pelobatidae
Source: the annotation of a GenBank genome assembly
AGUGACAGAGUGAGGAAGCGGGUGACACAGUGACAGAGUUAGGGAGGGAGUGACUAGUGACAGAGAGAGGGAUGGGGUGACUAGUGACAGUCACCACCUCCCUCACUCUGUCACUAGUCACCACCUCCCUCACUGUGUCACCCACUCCCUCCCUCACUCUGUCACUAGUCACCCCUUCCUUCCCUCUGUCACUAGUCACCCCUUCCCUCACUCUGUCACCU